This 253-nucleotide ribosomal RNA is filed under the name uncultured bacterium. RNAcentral describes it as "partial 16S ribosomal RNA". It matches the Rfam family "Bacterial small subunit ribosomal RNA", at positions 524 to 776 of the family's 1533-position model. The record is from RNAcentral.
UACGAAGGGUGCAAGCGUUACUCGGAAUUACUGGGCGUAAAGCGUGCGUAGGUGGUUCGUUAAGUCUGAUGUGAAAGCCCUGGGCUCAACCUGGGAAUGGCAUUGGAAACUGGCGAUCUAGAGUGCGGUAGAGGGUAGUGGAAUUCCCGGUGUAGCAGUGAAAUGCGUAGAGAUCGGGAGGAACAUCUGUGGCGAAGGCGACUGCCUGGACCAGCACUGACGCUGAGGCACGAAAGCUAGGGGAGCAAACAGG